Molecule: transfer RNA, 72 nt
Filed under: Ictidomys tridecemlineatus (thirteen-lined ground squirrel)
Lineage: Eukaryota; Metazoa; Chordata; Mammalia; Rodentia; Sciuridae
Description: Spermophilus tridecemlineatus (thirteen-lined ground squirrel) tRNA
Rfam family: tRNA
About the family: Transfer RNA (tRNA) molecules are approximately 80 nucleotides in length. Their secondary structure includes four short double-helical elements and three loops (D, anti-codon, and T loops). Further hydrogen bonds mediate the characteristic L-shaped molecular structure. tRNAs have two regions of fundamental functional importance: the anti-codon, which is responsible for specific mRNA codon recognition, and the 3' end, to which the tRNAs corresponding amino acid is attached (by aminoacyl-tRNA synthetases). tRNAs cope with the degeneracy of the genetic code in two manners: having more than one tRNA (with a specific anti-codon) for a particular amino acid; and 'wobble' base-pairing, i.e. permitting non-standard base-pairing at the 3rd anti-codon position.
Source: Rfam by way of RNAcentral
GGGGUUGUGGCUCAGUGGUAGAACACUUGACUGGCAUGUAAGAGACCCUGGGUUCGAUCCUCAGCACCACCA